Molecule: long non-coding RNA, 783 nt
Organism: Acyrthosiphon pisum (pea aphid)
Lineage: Eukaryota; Metazoa; Arthropoda; Insecta; Hemiptera; Aphididae
Exons: 3
Source: RefSeq, a predicted model, not a curated record
AAUACAUUAUGAUGUGUAAUAUUAUGAAAAACAAAAUAUGUUGACAUGGAAAGAAAUACAAUUCUUAAUAGGGCCGCCGUAUUUUGUUCCCCGUUAUCGAGAAAAACGGUUCAUAUUUAUAAAAUGCACUCAUUGCACUGACAAAAUCGGCGGUGCAGAAAAUGCGCACGAGUGUUGUCAGUGCAAUUAAAUCGAAUACAAAACACCGCACCAGUUCACUGAAUAUUGGUCAAAUCGAAUACGUUUUUGCACUUAGUGCGAACCGAGUGCAAAAAGUGCGUCAAAUCGAAAACGCUAUAAAAAACACACUACUCUUCGUGUGAAAAAUCCUAUGGAUAAAUGGAAUAUGAAUCAAUCGGUAGUUAUUAUCGUGUGUCGUUCAGGCCUUUGUGUAAUCUUAUCUCAUCAAAAUAAUACAUUUAUGAAGAUAACAUGUGAUAAUACUUAGAGAUUGUGUUUAGUGUUUUGCACUUUACCAAACGGUGGAAAUAGUGUAAUUAUUAAUGAAAUUAAAACAUAAUUAUAAUAAAGUUCGUUUAAAAACGUCGGUGUCAAUGACAAUUAACAAUUUAAAGUAACACCUAUUAGAAAAACGUCAAACUCAUACAAUCACGAAACACAGUUCACAAAGUAAACACACGAAUAUUACAUAUUAAUUUAAAGCAAAAUGUCUUGCAACUAUGCUGAUGGUUUAUCUCCAUAUGAAUAUAAAGGGGAAGUUGGUAUGAAUGAAGUUUUUGAUACUCCUGAAGUUUUGAAACAAAAGAUUUCGCUUCUUGCUGA